This 456-nucleotide ribosomal RNA is filed under the name uncultured bacterium. RNAcentral describes it as "bacterial SSU rRNA". It matches the Rfam family "Bacterial small subunit ribosomal RNA", at positions 340 to 786 of the family's 1533-position model. The record is from RNAcentral.
UACGGGAGGCAGCAGUGGGGAAUAUUGCACAAUGGGCGAAAGCCUGAUGCAGCUAUGCCGCGUGUAUGAAGAAGGCCUUAGGGUUGUAAAGUACUUUCAUUGGGGAGGAAAAAACAAAACUAAUAAUUUUAUUUCUUGACGUUACCCGAAAAAGAAGCACCGGCUAACUCCGUGCCAGCAGCCGCGGUAAUACGGAGGGUGCUAGCGUUAAUCAGAAUUACUGGGCGUAAAGAGCACGUAGGUGGUUUUUUUAAGUCAGAUGUGAAAUCCCUGGGCUUAACCUAGGAACUGCAUUUUGAAACUGAAAUACUAGAGUAUCGUAGAGGGAGGUAGAAUUCUAGGUGUAGCGGUGAAAUGCGUAGAUAUCUGGAGGAAUACCUGUGGCGAAAGCGGCCUCCUAAACGAAUACUGACACUGAGGUGCGAAAGCGUGGGGAGCAAACAGGGAUUAGAUACC